AUCGCUCGCGAUGUUUAACUGACAUGAUUGGGGACGUCCUACCGGUGGACUUAGCCUCUUCGGGGGCGGUCCAGCUAAUAUCCCAUCGCGGUGCUCUUCAUCGAGUGUCGAGGUGGGCCGGUACGUUUACUUUGAACAAAUUAGAGUGCUCAAAGCAGGC
RNAcentral lists this ribosomal RNA (160 nucleotides) under Bootanelleus orientalis. RNAcentral describes it as "partial small subunit ribosomal RNA". The record is from RNAcentral. Lineage: Eukaryota; Metazoa; Arthropoda; Insecta; Hymenoptera; Megastigmidae.